Long non-coding RNA from Syzygium oleosum, 401 nucleotides. RefSeq lists it as uncharacterized. The record is from RefSeq and is a predicted model, not a curated record. Lineage: Eukaryota; Viridiplantae; Streptophyta; Magnoliopsida; Myrtales; Myrtaceae. The transcript has 3 exons.
GCACUAGGUCACGAAGCUGUCAAGAGAGAGAGAGAGAGAGAGAGAGAGAGAGACCAAGUACAGUUUUGGGGGGAAUAGCCAUGGUGGUAAUAGCAUCCAAGAGAAUGGGCUUGAUGAUGCUUGUGGCGACACUCAUACUGUGCUCGUCCAUUGGUGCCGACGCCGACGCGCACAUACUUGUGUCGCGCAAGUGGAGAUGUGUAAUGUUAUGUGCCUUGACACCUCCUAUAAUUCCAUGCGUUCUCAAAUGCCUCAUCUAUCCUCCCACACAGUCCUUGACGUCCGCGGCAUCGCAACAUUGCGAUGUCGGUUGUUUCUUGUCUACUUGCCUGGACAAUCAUCAAGACACCGAGAAAGUUGGAAUGGACGUGAACAAGGCUGGAGCUUGUGCAGAUUCAUGC